Doryrhamphus excisus (bluestripe pipefish) is the source of this 2526-nucleotide non-coding RNA. The record is from RefSeq and is a predicted model, not a curated record. NCBI's taxonomy places the organism in Eukaryota, Metazoa, Chordata, Actinopteri, Syngnathiformes, Syngnathidae.
CGAUAUCAGCUUGUAUCGGAUGGGAAACAAAAUCAUUGGUAUCGCACUACCCCAGCGUGCAUCUGCCUCCGCAUUAAGCAGGGUGGAAGAAAAAGUAGAUCCCUCCAACCGCGCACCAUUUAGACAAGAUCUCUGUAAUUUCAUUGCUUUUUGUUAAUAUAACCACCUAAAACGAGUUAAGUGUCAAAGUAUUGAUAUUGUGACCAUGAAUGUUGGACCUGGUAUGAGAGAUAAUGCUACUUCCAUGGAUCCACACAUCACCACUACGAACUAGCAAGGCGAAGCUUCCUGAAGGCUGAUACGGGAUGAACCCAGGACUCGAUGGACUCGGCUUUUGGCGUCUUCUUGCUGUGAGGACAAGAACUGGAUUGGAUAUUUGCGUAUAUGAAGCCGUCCCCAAGCACCCUGGAACCACACCGCCUGACCCCAAAACUAUGGCGUCAACAAUUCUCUUCAUGAAUCCAACAACGUUCUCUCCGUAGAAGUCAAGACGCCGUCAGCGAGCCGCUUUCAGAGUGUCGCCAUGACAACGAAGCCACAACACAAACGCCACCCGGGUGAAAGAGUGUCCUCUUCCGAAAAGGCUGCAAGCCAGCCGGAAGCUCCAGAGACUCCAGGUGAUCCUCCAGCCCCAGGUGUCAUCAGGUCCGGAAGCUUCCACCUUAAGGAAACAGCCCACAGUGACAAGCUCAAGUCCAAACGCCUACGGGGAGCUUGCCUUUCCAUCCCAAAUUGAAGUUCAACAAAAGCCCCAUCAGCCAAGACUCUGGCUCAAGCAGACAUAACCUCGGCACGACUGGAGAGAGCCGAGCGGCGACGGCACGACAGCCAUCGUUCACACGUGGGCCCGACAACAUGGCCGACCCGACCCAUCACCCCAUCUCUUUUUCCUUCCUUGUUGCCCCGGCGCAUGCGAAAGGAAGACGAUAUGAAGAGCUGAUAGACUCCUCCCUGCCCCUCCCUUGACGCCCCCCCCACCCCCCUUGGGUGCUGUCAAUAAUACAUCCAUGCCUCCAUUAUAGCGUGUAUCUGCCAAGGCGGCGCCCAGCCUCUGUUUGUGGACAUGGGAAAUCUUUUAAGUCCAAAGUGUUGCCUCUGAGGGGACACGCCGUCUAAUGGGUGCUACCUGAACGCACCGCCGGGUAUUUACACAAAACAAGCACACCACAAGGAAAAGUUGAGGCCGACGCACAAGCACCAGAACCUCUUAGAUGCAACAAGGUCUGGCCCAGGGAGGCCAGUCCGCCUCUGAGUGGUUUGGCUUUGGGGGGAAAGGAAGUCGGAGUUACUGCCAUCAACUGUCAUGGAGGUUUCACGACAAGUGUUCAACGUUCCGCUAGCCAGUUCGAAGGCCAGACCAGAAACUCUUCUGUACUUUAAGCAUGAAGACUAAUUCUGGCUGCCAUUUCUACCUCUGCCAAGCGCGGCACAGACCCCCUUUUUGCCAACGUUUGUUUGUGUUCAAAAUAACUUGAAACCUUCAGAAUGGAUUUGGAUGACCGAUGCCUCAGGCCACUAGCCAAAGGUAACGCGACAUAUUUUAGUAGCCUUCCUUUCUAUGUUGCUAUGUGACAUCAAUGCACCCAGGAAGGAAGUUCUACUAAAAUACUCCAAGUACGACACGUUAGCAUCCAUGUAGCUGUUACUACAUGCUCACAGCAUGGAUAGAAAACCUUGGUGGAGCUUUUUGGAUCUCUUUGAAUAGCUGCCUUGCUAGGCCCAAUACGUGUGUCCCAUGACGUGCAUCCAUUAGCUGCCUCUUUCUACCUCUUUGUUUAUCUUUACAACACACAGAGGAAACAAAGACUUGAGUUAAUUACAUUUUUUCACACUCGUAACUGUCGUACAAGUGUAAAAAGAAGUUAACCGUUGCAGUUAGUGAAACAAUAGUUAAAAAAAAUCUCCAGUCUGAACUUUGAUGCAUCCUUUGAUGCUCGGAUUCCAACCCUUACAGGUUGCGGUACACUUCCCGUGCACUCGGGUCCCUAAAGCAUCGUCUCAAAAUAGGUCACAUGUAUGAGUGGUAAGCCACGUAUAAUGCACUUUUUAUGAGCAGGGGGCGGGCAACGCAGAGCUGGUGAGGUCCAGAGAGCCCUGGGUUCAAAGGUCAGAGGCGUCCAUUUUGAUACCAAGCGUGACAUCAACAAUGAGACGCUCAUGCUAAUGUGAAGAUUGUGUGGCUUCAUUAUGCAAUGUUUAAUAUUAAUAAAGAAAGUAUCAUCUAUUAUUUAUGCCAUGAUUUACUGAGUGUGUGUGUGUGUGUGUGUGUGUGAGUGACAGAUUGAGACGCUGCCUUGCUAAGGGCGAUACAAGCAGACAAGGCUCUUACUUUUCCGCGGGACGCAUCCUGACAAUUCCUCCCCCAGUUAAGAGGAUUUGUCCGAGCACGGAUGAAUUUAUAAUGCAUGCAGAUUCCACUUUUUAAUACGGACGUAAAUGAUUCACACGUCUCAGAGGUGAGGCUGCCAUGUAGAUGUGGGAGAGCAGGGGGGCCUGGGGGGGUCAACAGGCGAACUUUUCACAGGC